CACCUUCCGCUCGUUCCCUCCCUCCCCCGCCGGUUCCCGCCUGUUUCAUUUCCUUUCGCCGGCCUUAAGCUGUGAAAGGUCCCGGGAUCCUGGCUGUCUCACCCCUUUAGCCUAAGGGUCCUCCGGUCCCGGUUGGCGUUGCGUCUUCGGCCGGCAGCAGCCAGGGGACUGCAGGCCGCAGGGAGCGUAAUUGCGACCGCGGCCGGAGGGGGAGGGACCACGCGCAAGCAGGGGGCGUAACCCGUCACGUGACAAGGAAGUGCCGUUAAUAGCGCUGUCCCCGCGUCUUCGGCGCCUGUGGAUGACGUAAGGCAGGGAGGGGAGGCGCCGGAGAGGGAGAAGGAAGGGCUCAGGUGUAGCUCUCAGUUGCGUCUCGGGUGUCUCUACUGCUGCUAGAUGCUCGUGGGAGAAAGAGAACGCUGUGGGGUUUGCUUUUGAGGAGCACUAAGGUGAUGAGAAAAGCCUCCAAGCCCUACGACUCGUUCAUGUAAUCAAGUGACGCGUGGAAGUGGAAAGGUACAGUAGAUUUGGACUUAGGAGGAGUGGAUUCCAGUCUCAGUGCUGCCUCGGCGGAGUUCUGUAAACUGUGGGCAAGCCAAGCCCCUCGUCCCACUGACUGGGAGCGGAGAACGCACAAGCAAGCAAGGGGAGCUGCAGGCAGAGGGAGACGGAGAAGCAGGCUCCCCGCUGAGCAGAGAUCCCAAGGUUUUAUUCAGGAAUACUGUGUCUGUCACUCAACAUAGUUUCAACUUUCCAUCUAAAUGACUUUUGUGCCAGUGAUACCAGAGUCCUACAGCCAUGUUCUUGCAGAGUUUGAGUCUCUGGAUCCAUUACUUUCAACCCUGAGGCUGGACUCCAGUCGUCUGAAGUGCACCAGCAUAGCUGUAUCUCGAAAAUGGUUGGCUUUGGGCAGUUCAGGAGGAGGACUCAAUCUCAUUCAGAAGGAAGGAUGGAAGCACAGGCUUUUUCUUUCACAUAGGGAAGGUGCAAUUUCUCAGGUUGCAUGUUGUUUACAUGACGAGGAUUAUGUUGCUGUAGCUACCAGUCAAGGUCUUGUAGUUGUUUGGGAAUUAAAUCAGGAGCGUCGUGGGAAACCAGAACGAAUUUAUGUGUCUUCAGAGCAUAAAGGCCGAAAAGUUACAGCUCUCUGUUGGGAUACAGCUAUUCUUAGAGUUUUUGUAGGUGAUCAUAUGGGGAAAGUUUCUGCCAUCAGACUUAAUACUUCUAAACAAACAAAGGCAACUGCUGCCUUUGUGAUGUUUCCUGUUCAGACAAUAACCAUAGUUGACUCCUGUGUUGUGCAGUUGGAUUAUUUGGAUGGAAGACUACUUAUAUCUUCACUUACUCGAUCAUUCUUGUGUGACACUGAGAGAGAAAAAUUCUGGAGAAUUGGAAGCAAGGAAAGAUACGGAGAAUAUGGAGCUUGUUUCUUCCCUGGAAGAUGUUCUGCAGGCCAGCAACCCCUAAUAUAUUGUGCUCGCCCUGGCUCCAGGAUGUGGGAAGUGAACUUUGAUGGGGAAGUUAUAAGUACACAUCAGUUUAAGAAACUCCUCUCAUCACCACCUCUCCCUGUGAUUACUCUAAGAUCAGACCCUCAGUAUGACCAUACAGUUGGAUCCUCCCAGUCUUUGUCUUUCCCCAGACUCUUGUACGUUAGUGAGCAUUGUGUGCUGACUUGGACAGAAGGAGGAAUUUAUAUUUUCAUUCCUCAGAAUGUUCAAGUUCUUCUCUGGAGUGAGGUCAAAGAUAUUCAGGAUGUGGCCGUCUACAAGAACGAGCUGUUCUGUUUGCACCUAAACGGGAAAGUCUCACAUCUUUCUCUAUUGUCUGUGGAACGCUGUGUGGAGCGCCUGCUGAGGAGAGGCCUGUGGAACCUGGCUGCUCGCACUUGCUGUCUUUUCCAAAAUUCUAUUAUUGCCAGCAGAGGAAGAAAAUCUUUGACUGCAGAUAAAUUGGAGAAUCUGAAGUCUCAACUUCAGUCUCAACUGGACCUCACAACCUAUAGUGAUCUAAUUUCUCAACUGGAAGAAUUGAUUUUAAAAUUUGAACCUUUGGAUUCAGCUUGCAGCAGUCGGAGAAGCUCCAUUUCAUCACACGAAAGUUUCAGCAUCUUGGACUCUGGUAUAUAUCGUAUCAUUAGUAGUAGGAGAGGCAGUCAGUCGGAUGAGGACUCUUGUUCCCUUCACAGCCAAACUCUCUCAGAAGACGAGAGACUCAAAGAAUUUGCCUCACAUCCAGAAGAGGACCAGCCAGAUCCGUGCUGGAGCUCACGCGGAAAUGAAGACAGUGUUUCUCAUGCUCCCGUGACAUUUGAGACAGAUAAGAAUGAAACAUUUCUCCCCUUCGGCAUUCCACUAUCAUUUCGUUCUCCAUCUCCUCUUGUGUCUCUUCAGGCUGUCAAGGAAAGUGUUUCUAGCUUUGUACGUAAAACUACUGAGAAGAUUGGCACCCUUCAUACUAGCCCUGAUCUGAAAAUAAGACCAGAACCCAGGGGUGAUGAGCAUUUAUGUGAAGAGGAUAUGAGUCCAGUCAUCUGCCCAAAGGAAGAAGACACUGAGGACAAAAAAGAAGUAAUUAGUCAACCUCCAGAAGAAGACAAGUUCCAAGAGCUCAAAGUAGCGACAGCAGAAGCAAUGACCAAGCUACAAGAUCCACUGGUUUUGUUUGAACCCGAGUCUCUGAGAAUGGUCUUACAGGAGUGGCUUCCACAGUUAGAAAAAGCAUUUGCCGUGAAGGACUUUUUAGGCGUUUCAGAUAUUGGCCACUCAUCUACGAUGUCAAACCAGGAUGUGCUGUUGUUUGAAGAGUCAAAAAAGGGAAUAUUAGAUGAAGAUAACAAAAAUGAAAAAAGAGACUCUUUAGGCAAUGAAGAAAUUGUUGCUCCAACAGCAUGUGAAUCUACAGAGUGUGUGAAGGAGCCCUCGGAUGACCUUUUCCAAGUAUGUGCUCCGUGCAGCAUAGCUGACGGUCUUCAGAAGGACCUGGCUGAAUUGACAACGUUGUGUUUGGAAUUGAAUGUAUUGAAUUUUGAGACCAAAACCACAAGCGGACACGCGGACCAUUCUUUCCAACAGCACUCUCCUGAAAUUCUGGCUUGUCAGUUCAUAAAGAAGUACUUCUUCCUCCUGGACUUGAAAAGAGCAAAGGAGAGUGUCAAGCUUAGUUACGCUAACAGUCCUGGUGUUUGGGACACUUUUAUUGAAGGAUUGAAAGAAUUGGCAAGUUCCAAUCCUACAUAUAUAGAGAUGGAACAAGGAGACCUCCCAACAAGACUAAAGUUAUUGAAUGACUCAGUCCCCUUUGACAAUCCUUUGUUGAUUGCUUAUGCUGCCCGAUUGUAUGAGAGGUUUGGAGAAUCUGCCCUUCGGUCCUUAAUCGGAUUUUACCCAUCUGUUUUGCCUUCGGAUGUCACGCAACUUUGUCAUCAUCAUCCUGCUCAGUUUUUGGCCUAUUUAGACAGUCUGGUGAAAUCGAGGCCUGAAGAACAACGGCCCUCCUUUCUUGAGUCUCUUCUGCAACCAGAGUCUUUAAGGUUGGAUUGGCUGCUUUUGGCCGUGUCCCACGAUGCUCCCCCAAGCACCAGCACAAUGGACGAUGAAGGAAACCCCAGGCCUCAUUCACACUUGUCUUCAUGGGGCUACAGUCAGCUGAUGCUUCAUCUCAUUAAACUACCUGCAGAUUUUACAACCAAAGAGAAAAUGACUGACAUCUGUAGGUCUCAUGGUUUCUGGCCUGGAUAUCUUAGUCUUUGUUUGGAGUUAGAGAGAAGAAGAGAGGCCUUUACCAACAUUGUGUGCUUGAACGAUAUGAGCCUGAUGGAAGGGGACAAUGGCAGAGCGCUACGAGCCAUGAGAGCCAACAGUUGUGUGUUUCUGUGUGCGUGUGUGUUAAGGUUGGGUCCCAGAGACUGUGGAGGAAUGGAAGCUGCUCCUGCAUCUUGUACAGAACAAGAACACGAAGCCCGCACCCCAGAAGUCACCAAAUGGGAACUUCAGUGAUGGGCCUUCCCCCAUCAACGUGGAGAAUGUGGCCCUCCUAUUAGCUAAGGCCAUGGGCCCAGAUCAGGCCUGGUCACUGCUGCAGGAAUGUGGUUUGACCCUGGAGUUGUCAGAGAGGUUUACCAGAACCUGUGAUAUUCUAAGGAUUGCUGAGAAGAGACAGAGAGCCUUGAUACAAAGCAUGCUGGAAAAAUGUGAUCGGUUUCUCUGGUCUCAGCAGGCCUAGUGGAAGAAGAUUCAGCAAAUGUCGCAACAUUUUGAGAAAAACAGAAUCAUCCUCCUGAACCUCCCGAGUGCAUUUGUUGUUGAAGGAAAGGUACCACCUGAAAAUUCUGCCACCUUACUGGGAGUACUUUUGUCAGUAUCUAUAACUUCUGCAUUUGUGGCUGUGGCUGUGACCUCUGUUUCUCAACCAGGGUUGAAUUUUGAAAAGGACUCAGUCCUUUUUUGCUGAAAUGAAGUGCUCUGGAAUCAGAAUGUGAAAGUUCACAGCUGUGCAGUCCUUAUUCUGAACUACAGUAUUAUUUUCUCCUUGCUUAAGGGAUUGGGGGAAUUAUUUUCCUGUUGUGACUCUCAUGGAGGGAACAGAAGUUUCUCACCCUGGUUGCGUGAAGGCAGAUAAAGUAAUUGACAGAAGUUGAAUUCUUUAUAUCUUCUCUGGAAUAGUUGAGAAAUUAUUGAAAGAAGACCUGAUGGAAUGGAAUUAACACAUCAAAUAAGUGAAACAUUGAAGAUUCAAGUUAGAUAUUUACGUGAAAUGACCCCAUAUUUAAAAUUGAGCUAACUUAAAAUCUAUUUUUUCCCAGUAUUUGACAUUUUCUAAUCUGAACUUAUAUACAGAUGACUAAUUUAUUACUGGAAAUGUUUUAUCUCUAAUCUUUCCUAAACAGUGGUCCAAAGGAAUCAUGCACUUUUGAAAAUUAUUUUUUAAAAGCCAUAAUAAAGGAAAACUAAGUACUCACAAACUGCAGUAGACACCUGUGUCAUUUAAGCCAUGGACCCAAAUGCCUUUGUCAGGCCCCUGUACACUUGCAUAGCAUGUUACAUUAAUAAUACAUUAAAAUCUGUUAAGUUUUUAUUUAA
Canis lupus familiaris (dog) is the source of this 5081-nucleotide RNA transcript. It is a transcript of the gene named HPS5 biogenesis of lysosomal organelles complex 2 subunit 2, with no coding region annotated. NCBI's taxonomy places the organism in Eukaryota, Metazoa, Chordata, Mammalia, Carnivora, Canidae. The transcript has 25 exons. The record is from RefSeq and is a predicted model, not a curated record.